Molecule: ribosomal RNA, 494 nt
Filed under: uncultured bacterium
Lineage: Bacteria
Description: bacterial SSU rRNA
Rfam family: Bacterial small subunit ribosomal RNA
Source: RNAcentral
AGAGUUUGAUCCUGGCUCAGAGUCAACGUUGGCGGCGUGCGUAACACAUGCAAGUCGAACGAGAACCAGGAAGCUUGCUUCCUGGGGACAGUGGCGAACGGGUGAGUAACACGUGAGUAAUCUGCCCUUGAGUGGGGAAUAACUUCGCGAAAGCGGAGAUAAUACCGCACAAUACUCUGAAGUAUAAGCUUUCAGAGUCAAAGCCUUCGGGCGCUUGAGGAUGAGCUCGCGGCCUAUUAGCUUGUUGGUAGGGUAACGGCCUACCAAGGCUUCUAUGGGUAGCCGGCCUGAGAGGGUGUACGGCCACACUGGAACUGCGACACGGUCCAGACUCCUACGGGAGGCAGCAGUGGGGAAUUUUGCGCAAUGGGCGAAAGCCUGACGCAGCGACGCCGCGUGGAGGAUUAAGGCCUUCGGGUUGUAAACUCCUGUCAGAGGUGAAGAAAGUCUCCUUCGGGAGGCCUGACGGUAACCUCAGAGAAGCCCCGCUAACU